RNAcentral lists this long non-coding RNA (1059 nucleotides) under Homo sapiens (human). Its description in RNAcentral is "HSALNT0217821". The record is from RNAcentral. Lineage: Eukaryota; Metazoa; Chordata; Mammalia; Primates; Hominidae.
UAAGAAGACUGCUUUGGGCCUGUGAUGUGAGAGGAAACACAGCCUUUCCCUUUAGAAACUUGGAUGCGACAGGCCCAAUACACACAUAUUUACAUCUGCGGUGUUUUGUCAAAGCAAGCCAGAUAAGAGCAUUCCGACGAUUAUCACUGUGCAGCUAUUGCUAACAGCAGAGCCGGGAGUGCGCCUGGGUUCCAGCUCCUCUCCUGUGGGCCAGGGUCUUGGCGCUUGAGGUGCUGGAAGGAGAAUGUUCCAGCCCAGAUGGUUUCUUCUUUCACUGCGUCCCAUCAAUAGCUCACAGUCUAGCAAUUUCUAAGUAUUUUUUGGCCUUUCGCAUUUUCUCUCCUAUAACCUGCCUCUGGUUUUUCUUUGGAAAUUUUUCUAUUGGGUUGAUUUAUUUUCCUUAUUCAUGUUAUAUAUUCUUUAUGUAACCUGAUUGUUACGUAUUCCUCGUGCCUCAUUAAUUAUUCAUUUUUUAAGAAAUCAGACUAUUCUUCAAAGACUAGUGGUACUUUCCUUCCUGAAAGUCAUACAGAUGGUCUUCUCACUUUUCUUCUACAUAAUUUUUAUUUUCAUGUUAACUCUGUAAUUAAUCUGGAAUUUACUCUUUAGAUGAUGUGAGUCAGGAAUCUCACUUCAUUUUCUCUCCAGAUGGGUAGCCAAUUUAUCUCUAUUUACUGAACAAUCUUUCCUUCAUGAUUUUAGAUGACAUCUUUAUCAUAUUCAUAUCAAAUUCCCGAAUUAAUCAUAAUUCUAUUUUUGAGCUAUCAUGUUCCACUGAUCUAUGUCAAUACUGAGAGGUGACAACAUGCUGGCAGCCCCCGCAGCCCUCGCUCUCGGCACCUCCUCGGCCUUGGCACCCACUCUGGCCACACUUGAGGAGCCCUCCAGCCCGCGCUGCACUGUGGGAGCCCCUUUCUGGGCUGGCCGAGGCCGGAGCCGGCUCCCUCAGCUUGCAAGGAGGUAUGGAGGUAGAUGCCUGGGAGGGAACCUGGGCUGCGCGCGGCACUUGCGGGCCAGCGCGAGUUCCGGGUGGGCGUGGGCCCAGCGGCCCUGCACUUG